CGGCUGCAGCAAGGAAUAUUGUGCAAUGGGCGAAAGCCUGACACAGCGACGCCGCGUGGGGGAAGACGGCCUUCGGGUUGUAAACCCCUUUUCUCGGAGAAGAAUAAUGACGGUAUCCGAGGAAUAAGUCUCGGCUAACUACGUGCCAGCAGCCGCGGUAAUACGUAGGAGGCAAGCGUUAUCCGGAUUUAUUGGGCGUAAAGAGGGCGUAGGCGGCCUUGUAAGUCGGAUGUAAAAUCUCCCGGCUCAACUGGGAGGGACCAUUCGAUACUGCUAGGCUCGAGUACAGCAGAGGGAGGUGGAAUUCCCGGUGUAGUGGUGAAAUGUGUAGAUAUCGGGAGGAACACCAGUGGCGAAGGCGGCCUCCUGGGCUGCAACUGACGCUGAGGCCCGUAAGCGUGGGGAGCAAACAGGAUUAGAUACCCGAGUAGUC
RNAcentral lists this ribosomal RNA (433 nucleotides) under uncultured Dehalococcoidia bacterium. Its description in RNAcentral is "bacterial SSU rRNA". It matches the Rfam family "Bacterial small subunit ribosomal RNA", at positions 346 to 795 of the family's 1533-position model. The record is from RNAcentral. Lineage: Bacteria; Bacillati; Chloroflexota; Dehalococcoidia.